AUUGGAAAUGUUAAUUUUGCGAGUUUUUUUAUGUAAUAUUUAUUCGGUAGGUACUCUGUGUUUAAAAUAGUAAGAUCAAAUAGAAUUGCUUGACAAUUUAACAUGAGAUUCAUUAUAAGUUGUACUUAGUGGUCAAUAAGAAAAAUGGUUUAAUGUAGUAUAUAUAUAUAUAUUUUUUUAUAAGCAUUUUAAUAUAAAAUUUUGAUGAAAAUCGUAAAUAUUACAGCCUUUUAGACAUGUAUAACUAAACUCCACUUAGAAUCAUUUUUAUUAACAAAU
Molecule: non-coding RNA, 279 nt
Organism: Cinara cedri
Lineage: Eukaryota; Metazoa; Arthropoda; Insecta; Hemiptera; Aphididae
Source: the annotation of a GenBank genome assembly